Long non-coding RNA from Cannabis sativa, 912 nucleotides. RefSeq lists it as uncharacterized. The transcript is spliced from 2 exons. Lineage: Eukaryota; Viridiplantae; Streptophyta; Magnoliopsida; Rosales; Cannabaceae. The record is from RefSeq and is a predicted model, not a curated record.
CAAAAAUAUUAUCUUUUUGUAAAACAACCGUAAAAUAACAAAACAGAACAAUUAAAAACAACAGUAAAAUAACUGUGAAAAUUUAACACAAUACACAGUAUUUUAGAAAAAAAAAAAAAAACACAGUAUUUUUUUAAAAAAAAUUGUACCCUACGGUAAAAAAGAAAAAAUAAAUUGAAAAUUCAGUAUGGUGUAAGAACCCCAAAUUAAAUCAAAUUAAACUCUAUAUUAAGAAGCCCAGGCCCAAGCCCAAGCACAGUUAGUCACAUUGUUCUUUGCUCUCUCCUUUACUCAAUCUCUCUCUGGCUUUUCUUCUAUUCUCUCUGUAAACCCUAGAAAUAUCACCAACCUCGUUCUGAUCGGAGAUCGGAGGAGAGUAGGAAUUCCGUUUCAAUCAUUGGCCGGUUAAUACAAUUACUUCAAAAGCAUUCGGAAAUUGAAGUGGAGAACGAAAAGGAUAAACUACUUAAUUAGUUUACCUUUCAUGAAGCUCAAGCUUCUAAGGAUAACUUUCAAGACAAAUUUAAAUUUUUACACUCGGCGUUUGGUUGGAGGUAAUGAAAUGGAAUGGAAUAGAAAGGAAACAAUUUUCAUUCCAUUCUUUUAUUUGGUUGCAUUUUAAAGUAUUGGAAUGGCAUUCCAAAGGAAUGCUCUUUCUACCAUUUUGGUGGAAUGGCUAUUCCAUUUUAAAAAGAAAGGAAUGACCAUCCCAAUGUAACAAGAAAAAAAAAAAUUAAAUUAUUUUUUUAUUAAUUUUUUUUUUAUGUAUUUUAAAUUUUAUUCCAUUCCUAUUCCCAUUUCUAUUCCUAUUUCUAUAUUUUCAUUCCUCCCAACUAAACGCCCCAUAGUGUAACUCUAUAACUAAAAGAGUACCAUGUAAUACAAUAAAAUGGAUUUUUAUGUGUUUGAUGA